Non-coding RNA from Eucalyptus grandis, 126 nucleotides. Lineage: Eukaryota; Viridiplantae; Streptophyta; Magnoliopsida; Myrtales; Myrtaceae. The record is from Rfam.
GAGUAAAGGCAUUGAUAUAAAAUUGAUGGUGCACAUUGCAUUGAAUGUUGGUGAUAAAUCAGCGAUUCUCCGUGCCUAUCACAUCUCUUUUGGUUUUGAUUAUGGACUCGAACAAGUCGCCACAUU